GAUGAACGCUGGCGGCGUGCCUAACACAUGCAAGUCGAACGGAGACACAUUUUUGAAGUUUCGGUAUGGAAGAGAUGUAUCUUAGUGGCGGACGGGUGAGUAACACGUAAACAAUCUGCCUCAAAGAGCGGGAUAACAGAUAGAAAUAUUUGCUAAUACCGCAUAAGACCACAACUUGGCAUCAAGAAGGGGUCAAAGGAGCAAUUCGCUUUGAGAUGAGUUUGCGCACUAUUAGCUAGUUGGUGAGGUAAAGGCCCACCAAGGCAGAGAUGGUUAGCCGACCUGAGAGGGUGAUCGGCCACACUGGAACUGAGACACGGUCCAG
This 325-nucleotide ribosomal RNA is filed under the name uncultured bacterium. Its description in RNAcentral is "bacterial SSU rRNA". It matches the Rfam family "Bacterial small subunit ribosomal RNA", at positions 28 to 334 of the family's 1533-position model. The record is from RNAcentral.